AGGGCACCACCAGGAGUGGAGCCUGCGGCUUAAUUUGACUCAACACGGGAAAACUUACCUGGUCAGGACACUGGAAGGAUUGACAGAUUGAGAGCUCUUUCUUGAUUCAGUGGGUGGUGGUGCAUGGCCGUUCUUAGUUGGUGGAGCGAUUUGUCUGGUUAAUUCCGAUAACGAACGAGACUCUAGCCUACUAAAUAGACUGCUCAACUUUAUAGCUGUAUCACCUUGCAGUUGCUUCGGUGGCUGUAAGGCUAUGGUGACGUUGGCAGUGCUUCUUGGAGGGACAGGCGGCGGUUCAGCCGCACGAAACAGAGCAAUAACAGGUCUGUGAUGCCCUUAGAUGUCCAGGGCCGCACGCGCGCUACACUGAAGUGAUCAGCGUGCAAUUAACGUUUCCUACUCCGUCAGGAGUGGGUAACCCGUUGAACCUUCUUCGUGAUUGGGAUAGGGGAUUGUAAUUAUUCCCCUUGAACGAGGAAUUCCCAGUAAGCGCAAGUCAUAAGCUUGCGUUGAUUACGU
RNAcentral lists this ribosomal RNA (519 nucleotides) under uncultured eukaryote. RNAcentral's name for it is "bacterial SSU rRNA". It matches the Rfam family "Eukaryotic small subunit ribosomal RNA", at positions 1161 to 1650 of the family's 1831-position model. The record is from RNAcentral.